CGGGGAUCGCAAUGGGCGCAGCUGAUGCAGCCAUGCCGCGUGUGUGAUGAAGGCCUUUCGGGUUGUAAAGCACUUUCAGUCCUGAGGAAGGUAGUGUAGUUAAUAGCUGCAUUAUUUGACGUUAGCGACAGAAGAAGCACCGGCUAACUCCGUGCCAGCAGCCGCGGUAAUACGGAGGGUGCGAGCGUUAAUCGGAGUUACUGGGCGUAGAGCGCAUGCAGGUGGUUUGUUAAGUCAGAUGUGAAAGCCCGGGGCUCAACCUCGGAAUAGCAUUUGAAACUGGCAGACUAGAGUACUGUAGAGGGGGGUAGAAUUUCAGGUGUAGCGGUGAAAUGCGUAGAGAUCUGAAGGAAUACCGGUGGCGAAGGCGGCCCCCUGGACAGAUACUGACACUCAGAUGCGAAAGCGUGGGGAGCAAACAGGAUUAGAUACCCUGGUAGUCCACGCCGUAAACGAUGUCUACUUGGAGGUUGUGGCCUUGAGCCGUGGCUUUCGGAGCUAACGCGUUAAGUGGACCGCCUGGGGAGUACGGUCGCAAGAUUAAAACUCAAAUGAAUUGACGGGGGCCCGCACAAGCGGUGGAGCAUGUGGUUUAAUUCCAUGCAACGCGAACAACCUUACCUACUCUUGACAUCCUAGAACUUUCCAGAGAUGGAUUGGUGCCUUCGGGAACUCUGACACGGGUGCUGCAUGGCUGUCGUCAGCUCGUGUUGUGAAAUGUUGGGUUAAGUCCCGCAACGAGCGCAACCCUUAUCCUUGUUUGCCAUCACUUCUCGUGGGAGCUCCACGGAGACUGCCGAUGAUAAAGCGGAGGAAAGUGGGGACGACGUCAAGUCAUCAUGGCCCUUACGAGUACGGGCUACACACGUGCUACAAUGGCGCAUACAAAGGGCAGCCAACUUGCGAGAGUGAGCGAAUCCUAAAAAGUGCGUCGUAGUCCUGAUCGGAGUCUGCACUCGACUCCGUGAAGUCGGAAUCGCUAGUCAUCAUGAUCAGAAUGCCACGGUGAAUACGUUCCCGGGCCCUUGUCCACAACGCCCGUCACAUCGUGGGGAGUGGGCUGCAGAUUGAUGUCAGUAGCUAAUCCUUGGGUGAGGCACGCUUACCACGUUGUAGUCAGAAGCGGGGGGAGGACAAUGUA
Molecule: ribosomal RNA, 1141 nt
Filed under: Vibrio sp.
Lineage: Bacteria; Pseudomonadati; Pseudomonadota; Gammaproteobacteria; Vibrionales; Vibrionaceae
Description: bacterial SSU rRNA
Rfam family: Bacterial small subunit ribosomal RNA
Source: RNAcentral